RNAcentral lists this ribosomal RNA (495 nucleotides) under uncultured bacterium. RNAcentral's name for it is "partial 16S ribosomal RNA". It matches the Rfam family "Bacterial small subunit ribosomal RNA", at positions 28 to 507 of the family's 1533-position model. The record is from RNAcentral.
GAUGAACGCUGGCGGCGUGCCUAAUACAUGCAAGUAGAACGCUGAAGGAGGAGCUUGCUCUUCUGGAUGAGUUGCGAACGGGUGAGUAACGCGUAGGUAACCUGCCUGGUAGCGGGGGAUAACUAUUGGAAACGAUAGCUAAUACCGCAUGACAACAGUUAUUGCAUGAUAACUGUUUAAAAGGGGCAACUGCUCCACUACCAGAUGGACCUGCGUUGUAUUAGCUAGUUGGUGAGGUAACGGCUCACCAAGGCGACGAUACAUAGCCGACCUGAGAGGGUGAUCGGCCACACUGGGACGGAGACACGGCCCAGACUCCUACGGGAGGCAGCAGUAGGGAAUCUUCGGCAAUGGACGGAAGUCUGACCGAGCAACGCCGCGUGAGUGAAGAAGGUUUUCGGAUCGUAAAGCUCGGUUGUAAGAGAAGAACGAGUGUGAGAGUGGAAAGUUCACACUGUGACGGUAGCUUACCAGAAAGGGACGGCUAACUACGUG